CCUACGGGUGGCAGCAGUGAGGAAUAUUGGUCAAUGGCCGGAAGGCUGAACCAGCCAUGCCGCGUGAAGGGCAGGGCCCUAGGGGCGUUAAACUUCUUUUGUGGGGGAGCAAGAAUGGUCACGUGUGGCCAGACGAGAGUACCGUACGAAUAAGAAUCGGCGAACUCCGUGCCAGCAGCCGCGGUAAUACGGGGGAGGCAAGCGUUAUCCGGAUUUAGUGGGUUUAAAGGGUGCGUAGGCUGUGAGGUAAGUCAGCGGUGAAAUGCCCCCGCUCAACGGGGUGAAGUGCCAUUGAUACUGCCUUGCUGGACUGCGGCUGCCGUGGGCGGACUGUGUGGUGUCGCGG
RNAcentral lists this ribosomal RNA (346 nucleotides) under uncultured bacterium. RNAcentral describes it as "partial 16S ribosomal RNA". It matches the Rfam family "Bacterial small subunit ribosomal RNA", at positions 338 to 681 of the family's 1533-position model. The record is from RNAcentral.